RNAcentral lists this ribosomal RNA (467 nucleotides) under uncultured bacterium. RNAcentral describes it as "partial 16S ribosomal RNA". It matches the Rfam family "Bacterial small subunit ribosomal RNA", at positions 28 to 507 of the family's 1533-position model. The record is from RNAcentral.
GACGAACGCUGGCGGCGUGCUUAACACAUGCAAGUCGAACGGAAAGGCCCUGCUUUUGUGGGGUGCUCGAGUGGCGAACGGGUGAGUAACACGUGAGUAACCUGCCCUUGACUUUGGGAUAACUUCAGGAAACUGGGGCUAAUACCGAUAAGGGCUCCCGCUGGCUGGGGGGGGGUGGGAAAGUUCGGCGGUUGGGGAUGGACUCGCGGCUUAUCAGCUUGUUGGUGGGGUAGUGGCUUACCAAGGCUUUGACGGGUAGCCGGCCUGAGAGGGUGACCGGCCACAUUGGGACUGAGAUACGGCCCAGACUCCUACGGGAGGCAGCAGUGGGGAAUAUUGCACAAUGGGCGGAAGCCUGAUGCAGCAACGCCGCGUGCGGGAUGACGGCCUUCGGGUUGUAAACCGCUUUCGCCUGUGACGAAGCGUGAGUGACGGUAAUGGGUAAAGAAGCACCGGCUAACUACGUG